UACGUAGGGGGCAAGCGUUGUCCGGAAUCAUUGGGCGUAAAGAGCGUGUAGGCGGCCCGGUAAGUCCGCUGUGAAAGUCCAGGGCUCAACCCUGGGAUGCCGGUGGAUACUGUCGGGCUCGAGUCCGGAAGAGGAGUGUGGAAUUCCUGGUGUAGCGGUGAAAUGCGCAGAUAUCGGGAGGAACACCCGUAGCGAAGGCGGCACUCUGGGCCGGUACUGACGCUGAGGAGCGAAAGCCAGGGGAGCAAACGGG
Molecule: ribosomal RNA, 253 nt
Filed under: uncultured bacterium
Lineage: Bacteria
Description: partial 16S ribosomal RNA
Rfam family: Bacterial small subunit ribosomal RNA
Source: RNAcentral